GACCCUUGGAGAAUCCCGAGCCCUCGGCACAGAGAGAGAGAGAGAGAGAGAGAGAGAGAGAGAGACCCCUGUGUCCACGCCGCGGAGGGAGAGUUUCACGGUCCCUCAGGACCUGACUCCCCGAGGAGAUUCAGUGGGGAAGAGGAGUCCGAGGAACGUUCAGGAGUUGGUGAAGGAGCGCUCAUCCUUAAGAAAAGAAAAUGCUCUUCCGGAAACUCCAGCCAGAAGUUAACCGACAACAAGAACCUUUUAAGAGGCUUCAGGGAGGCACACGGCACCCAGUGCAGACUGAAGAACUAUUUUCCCAAUCCAAGCAGAACCCUGCUGUGGGAGGAAGCUGAGGAAUCUUUUCCCAAUUAACAGUGUCCUGGGGGCUUCCCUGGUGGUGCAGUGGUUAAGAAUCCGCCUGCCAAUGCAGGGGACAUGGGUUCGAGCCCUGGUCUGGGAAGAUCCCACAUGCUGCGGAGCAACUAAGCCCAUGCGCCACAGCUACUGAGCCCGUGCUGUAGAGCCCGUGAGCCGCAACUACUGAGCCCAUGUGCCACAACUACUGAAGCCUGCAAGCCUAGACCCCAUGCUCCUCCACAAGAGAAGCCACCACAAUGAGAAGCCUGCGCACUGCACCGAAGAGUAGCCCCCGCUCACCGCAACUAGAGAAAGCCCACGCACAGCAACAAAGACCCAAUGCAGCCUAAAUAAAUAAAUAUAUAAAUAUAUUUUAAAAAAGAAACCAAACAGUGUCCUGGGAGUGAAUCUGAAGGGAAGCCUGGGCAUCCUCAAUACCAAGAAGUCUCUGAGAAUGACUGGGUCUUGGCUCUGUGGUCUUACCUCCACCUCACCAAAAGUGUGAUCAUCUACAAUUGUCUUAUGUGGAUGAGUCACAGCAAGGACUUUGGAAGCCAGCUGACCACUCAAGUGACCAUAAGACACAUAUUAUAGUCACAUAACUGCCAUGGAUCAAAGCAAGUGUCAACCUCUCUUAACCUUUGUCCACAGCCUCCAUCACCUUUGAGAGUCAUUACAUUUGAAUCACUGAUCUUAUUCUUC
RNAcentral lists this long non-coding RNA (1047 nucleotides) under Phocoena sinus (vaquita). RNAcentral's name for it is "lncRNA (ENSPSNG00000009988.1)". The record is from RNAcentral. Lineage: Eukaryota; Metazoa; Chordata; Mammalia; Artiodactyla; Phocoenidae.